UGAGCGCCCCUUUCCUUGGAGAUUAGAACAUUUUAUCCUAAGCCCCUUUCUUCAAACGUUGUAGCCCUUUUCCCCAACAUCUCCGGCUCUCCUUACCUAGCUCAUCUCUCUGGUCGGCGACGUGCCAUCUUCUCCGAUUGGUAACUUCUCUGCUUCUCCAUAUCAGGUCUGUGGUUUACUUGUUAUAAUUUUUCUACAGUUAAAAUUGUUCUACUUGUUAUAAUUUUUCUACAGUUAAAAUUGUUUGAAGACCCAUAAUAACCUAACUCCCUCUCCUUCACAUUCUCUCCUCCAUCGCUCUGAUUAAUCUGCUUCGACGUUUUCUGCUUUUCUGUUUUUUUUUUGCCAUUAAAUGUCCUGACAACUCUUUCACUCUCUGCAAUUCAUUUUUUAAAAGCUUCCUUCUCAAUAAGCGUGAAUCAGCUACUCUCUCGCUCUCAGCAAUUAACAAAGAAUCAAGAAAAUUCCAUAUAUUAUGUUUGGGCUUAGGGUUUGGUUCAAACGAAAAUGUUUUUUUAUUUUUUAUUUUGCUUUUUGUUACUUGCGGCUUCAAUGCUGGAAAUAGAGCAAGAACAUUCUUAAUCAUUUGAUUUAUGAAUGCAUUUCUUCAAUUUCAAAUAUGUUGAUAGCUUGGUACUUCUUCAAGAACACUCUUAACUUUUUCUUCUUUAAAAGAAAAUUUCGAUUCUUGUUCAGGCAUAUUUCAUUACUCUCAUCGGUUAUACAAAUUUGUUAUUUGUAAGGUUUUUGUCUAAAAUAGUGGUUUCCCUCCUUAUAAGGUUUUGCUUACGAUGGGUUUGGUUCGUUACGUUAUAGCGAGUGAGGAUUUCAGGUGAAUGAAUUUUCCAACUUGUGGUUGUUGAAUGGUUUGAUUGGGGAUUUUGUAUUGUUUUGGUGGAGCUUAAAGGUCUGUUAUGCAAAUUGGGGAUGUUGCAUUUUUAUGCAGAAUUAGUUGGUCAUGACUAUUGGUAAGGACAUUGUAAUAUUGAGGUUUGCUAUCUAAAAUUUUGUUCUAUUGCUAUAUAUGGAAAAUUGUUGCAAAAGGCCAUUGUAAAAUCUAUUUCUCGUCAUUUUAGUAGCUCAUGGUACUUUAUAGUUCAACCAAAAAUCUGUGCUUUCUUUUUGUAUUGGUUCUCAUUCGUACUUGUUUUUGGGCUUGUUGGUCUAGCUGGGUUUUUAAGAAAGACUAAAGCAUGAGGGAUUAUGUUGAGUAGAGAUGAUUUUUAGGAGGGAUUAUGUUGAUAUAGGCAUUUCUACGGGAUUUAGUGUAUUGGAGCAACGUGGUGCAAUUUGAAUUCUCAGUGUAGACUUCUUUUUCAGCUUUGUUUUGUUUGAUCCUUUAGGUGGCUGCUCCAAAAACUUUUUAUUUCUUUUUUAUUGUUAGUUUUAAGAAAAAUAUAAAUAAAACAUAUGAGAGUGAGGGCUAGGGUGAUGAAUGCCUAAUGUGUUGAGUUACCAACCUUAGCUGUGUUUGCAAUUUACUUUUCUUGGUUUCUGUUGGCACUUGAUAUUUAGUUUCUGUUUGGCUUUUAUGGUGUUCAGUUUGUAAAUUUUUGCUCUUUAUUGAACUUUACCAGUUACAUUAGAAACAACGGACUUAGUGAUAGAUACCUGGUUCUGAAUGCAAUGGAAAAAAAAGCAAGGAAAGAAGAUGUAGUCAUUACCCUGCUAUUUCUAAUGUGAAAAUGUAUUGCUAUGUAUAAGGCUUUUUGGAAGGUAGCAUUUAGGUAUGUACUUAGUUUUGGUAAGAUAAGAAGAGAUGAUUUUUAGAAACCCAAAAAUCAUGUGCACAGUCUUUCCUUUUUUUUAAAAAAUAAAUAAAUAAAUAAAUAAAAUCAUACAUAUGUGCUAAUAGCUAGGCUUUCUGGUGUUGUUAUGAUAUAACUUAAAGGCCUUUCACAAUUUAUAUAUAUAUAUAUAUAUAUAUUUUAUAUAAAUGUGUUUUUGUUAGUAGAAAGUAUAUAUAUAUAUUUUAUGAAUGUGUUUUUGUUAGUAGAAAGUAACAAGGUAGAGUAGUGGUAAGAAGGUAUAUGUGUUAUAGAGUGCGAAUAAGAAGGGUAUCUAUGGUUGUAUAGGUUAAGGAUUGAUACAGCUAUGCAAAUUCCUUCAGAAAGGUAUCUAUGUUUGCAUAGGUUAAGGAUACAGCUAUGCAGAUUCCUUCACUUGUUAUAAACUAUCUUAUCUUUGGUCAUCUUAUACUAAUUAAUUAUCUAAUAAUGUUAUCUUAAACUAGUUACUUAUUCUAUAUAAGUUCAAUUUCUUAUUUUCUAACACCAAUAAGAAACAAGUGAAAUUAGACAAGAAAAAAUUGACUGGUCACAGCCAUGAUUUGGACGCUCACAUUUAUAUACUGGUUUAUUACUUUCUUAAAUGUUUUGUUGGAUUCCCCUACAGGUGCCAAAACCCACUUGUUCAUGUUUUAUAUGGGCCAACCAUACAUUGAACUAAAUCUCUAAUUUGUAAGUUAUUGGGAUUCUAAAGUUUUAACUUCUUUUUUUCUUUUUCUUUUUUUCCUAAAUUAGAUUGUAGAUCAAUAAUUUUUUGGCAGAAUUGGCAUGUUUGGCUUUGUAUUUGAUUUAUGAAAGGAGCAAGAAAAAAAGUAUUUUUGGAACCCCUAUAUUAGAGAGCUUGAUUGCCACUGAGGGAGGGGCCAAUUGGCUAUGGAAUCUCCUCUUUUAUGGUUAGGUGCUGAACUGGCUUAUCUUACUGUUAGUCUUACAAAUGUACUUGUGCUUUUUCUAAACUUUUUCAAGAUAGCUGGUGCUACUGUUUCCUUAUAUACCUUCAUCAGGCAUAUUAAUUGAACAUCUUGCAUCACAAUACUGCAUUUUGGUUGUGUGGGUCAGGAUGAAGUUCUUUAGACAGCUAAAGGAAUUCAAAGUCUAUAUGACAAGCUUGUCGCUGUCUGGUUUAUGGUUGGGUCUCUGUUUCACAUGAUACUCUUACGUAUUUUGAAUUGACAUUUUCAUAAUUUAUAAUGUUAUUUAAAUUUUUUUUUUCUAUAAUUCCCUUUUGUAGCAAUACCCUUACGAUAAGAUCUUGUCACUUGAGAAUUUAUGUUCUAAAAAUUAGAUUAUGUUAAUCAAACAGAAGUAAAGCUACAUGAUUUUGCUUUUUAUUUUUGAUGUGAUUUUGUUCAUACUCAUAGCUUGAGUAAGAAUUCUACAUAUUACUUGGUUCUGAUUCAUAUUACAGUUGGAUGAGAAAAAGUGAUGAUUGACUAACACUUUAUAUUGUGUUUGUGUUUAUAUAUGUUCUUUUGCUUAAUCUCCAAAGACGAAGUGAUAGUUUUCUUCUAGAUGAUUUAGCUUUAUUUUUCAAAUAGUGAAAUGAAUCUCACUGGUUUAUGCAGAUGAUUAUCUAUCGAUUCUUUACAAUGUUUUGCUGUCUUUUUUAUUGGUUCAAUAUUUUAUUUCUUUGCGAUAUGAUUCUUAGUAGGAAUUUCCCUGAUAAAAGAAAGGCUAAUCAAACUUGUUUGGCCUUAUUCCAUAUGAAGGCGUUUCAUGCAGCUGAAAGGCAAACGGUACCAGAAGCAAAAGUGGAAAAUGGAGCAUGAAAUGAUGAUGGUAAUGCAAGUAGAUUUCAAGAACUUAAGGACAAGACCAAGUUUUUAAUGCACUUGAUCACAUAUGUGUUAGAGAUUAGUGCAACAAUUCUUUGUGCUUGUACACAUUUAUAUCAUAUUUUUGUAUUAUGUAAUAACAAUUACAGUUUUAAUAAAAUAUUAUUUAAAAUUUUAGUAUUAUAAAAAAAUUAA
This is a long non-coding RNA of Ziziphus jujuba (common jujube), 3757 nucleotides long. RefSeq lists it as uncharacterized. NCBI's taxonomy places the organism in Eukaryota, Viridiplantae, Streptophyta, Magnoliopsida, Rosales, Rhamnaceae. The transcript has 3 exons. The record is from RefSeq and is a predicted model, not a curated record.